UACGCAGGGGGCAAGCGUUGUUCGGAAUUACUGGGCGUAAAGGGCGCGUAGGCGGCCUUCUAAGUCGGACGUGAAAUCCCCGGGCUCAACCCGGGAACUGCGUCCGAUACUGGAAGGCUUGAAUCCGGGAGAGGGAUGUGGAAUUCCAGGUGUAGCGGUGAAAUGCGUAGAUAUUCGGAAGAACACCAGUGGCGAAGGCGGCUCACUGGACUGGUAUUGACGCUGAGGUGCGAAAGCGUGGGGAGCAAACAGG
This 253-nucleotide ribosomal RNA is filed under the name uncultured bacterium. RNAcentral describes it as "partial 16S ribosomal RNA". It matches the Rfam family "Bacterial small subunit ribosomal RNA", at positions 524 to 776 of the family's 1533-position model. The record is from RNAcentral.